This 127-nucleotide microRNA precursor is filed under the name Myotis lucifugus (little brown bat). RNAcentral's name for it is "mir-9193 microRNA precursor family". It matches the Rfam family "mir-9193 microRNA precursor family". Lineage: Eukaryota; Metazoa; Chordata; Mammalia; Chiroptera; Vespertilionidae. The record is from Rfam by way of RNAcentral.
CGUGCACCAGUGGAGUCCCUCGGCCUGGCCUGCAUCCUCUUGAAAUCUGAGACCCCUUGGGGGAUAUCGGACUAUGGGUUUCAGUCCAAUCCCUGCAGGCCAGGCUGAGGGACCCCACUGGUGCACG